This 253-nucleotide ribosomal RNA is filed under the name uncultured bacterium. RNAcentral describes it as "partial 16S ribosomal RNA". It matches the Rfam family "Bacterial small subunit ribosomal RNA", at positions 524 to 776 of the family's 1533-position model. The record is from RNAcentral.
UACGGGGGGGGCAAGCGUUGUUCGGAAUUACUGGGCGUAAAGGGCUCGUAGGCGGCCAACUAAGUCAGACGUGAAAUCCCUCGGCUUAACCGGGGAACGGCGUCUGAUACUGGAUGGCUUGAAUCCGGGAGAGGGAUGCGGAAUUCCAGGUGUAGCGGUGAAAUGCGUAGAUAUCUGGAGGAACACCGGUGGCGAAGGCGGCAUCCUGGACCGGCAUUGACGCUGAGGAGCGAAAGCCAGGGGAACAAACGGG